AUUGAACGCUGGCGGCAUGCCUUACACAUGCAAGUCGAACGGCAGCACGGUAGCUUGCUCCUGUUGGCGAGUGGCGAACGGGGGAGUAAUAGGUCGAAACCUGUCCUGUAGUGGUGGAUAGCCCGGCGAAAGCCGGAUUAAUACUGCUAACGCAUAACGGAUGCAAGCGAGGGACGUUCGUCUUUCGCGCUAUAGCGUUUCCCGAUGGCUGAUUAGCUAGUUGGUGGGGUAAAGGCCUACCAAGGCGACGAUCAGUAGCUGGUCUGAGAGGACGACCAGCCACACUGGAACUGAGACACGGCCCAGACUCCUACGGGAGGCAGCAGUGGGGAAUUUUGGACAAAGGGCGAAAGCCUGAUCCAGCAAUGCCGCGUGUGUGAAGAAGGCCUUCGGGUUGUAAAGCACUUUUGUCCGGAAAGAAAACCAGCGCUCUAAUACAGUCGGGGGAUGACGGUACCGAAAGAAUAAGCACCGGCUAACUACGUG
Molecule: ribosomal RNA, 486 nt
Filed under: uncultured bacterium
Lineage: Bacteria
Description: partial 16S ribosomal RNA
Rfam family: Bacterial small subunit ribosomal RNA
Source: RNAcentral